This 534-nucleotide long non-coding RNA is filed under the name Amborella trichopoda. Its description in RNAcentral is "long non-coding RNA (ATRI_LNC003485)". Lineage: Eukaryota; Viridiplantae; Streptophyta; Magnoliopsida; Amborellales; Amborellaceae. The record is from RNAcentral.
GAGACAGAGCUAAUUUACUGCUUGCAAAACCCCCAUUACUGCUAGCAAAAAGACCUCUACAAGAGCUAGUGCACAGACAGAGCUAGUUUACUGUUUGCAAAACCCCCGUUACUGCUGGCAAAAAGACCUCUACAAGAGCUAGUGCAAAGCCCAACCAUCUACAGAGCAACUAGUUGUUUACUAAGCAAGAAAAGUCAAGUAGUACGGCCGGCUAUAACUCAAGCCUUCUACAAACAAGUGCUUUUGACAUAUACAAACACUAGUGCUUUGCCCGCCUUAGCUGUCUGCUAGUGUAAAGUAAAGCACUCUUCCAUAUCUAGUGAGUGCCCAGGUUCACGUUUCUCAUUCUUUCAUUAUUUCAUAUAUAAAUUAACUAUGCUUUGAUCCGCAGCUUUGCUUAGCUCUAGCUAACUGAAGAAGAAAAUGUAAAUAUACAAAGCCUACUGAGACUUCUUUUGUUGAACAAGUAAAGCCCACAUCUUUAGAUUGUUUACUUGCAAAAGCCACAACAAUAUUGCUGAAACAUAUGGUGCC